Molecule: long non-coding RNA, 515 nt
Filed under: Olea europaea (common olive)
Lineage: Eukaryota; Viridiplantae; Streptophyta; Magnoliopsida; Lamiales; Oleaceae
Description: long non-coding RNA (OEUR_LNC009458)
Source: RNAcentral
UUACUUCUUCCUUCUAAAAUAAUAACAACCUCCAAUGCUUCACAGGAGAGAAUUCGAGAUCUCCAAUUGAAACCCACCCCUAGGAUAGGAAGAACCAAAUCCUUCUAUUCAUCAUGAAAUAUCUUCAUCCACGCUACAAGGUUGUAAUGAAUGGGCUGAUUCACUUGUCAAACGAUAUGCAGCAGAGGGAGCUUAGGAAGAGCGAAUUGAUGAAGCAAUACCGGUUGGCUUUGGUGGUCCUGGUGAUUUGCAAUGUAAUAAUUUGUACUGUAUUUAAUGGAUUUGGCUAUUGAUCAAAGUGAAGACUAAUGUUGCUGUUUGAAAGUAGGGAAUAAUUUGUACUGUAUUUGCUACAUUGUUCUUGGUCUUUCAAAAGUGUAGUUGGUAGGUUGUUUUAUAAAUUUUUUCAAACAAUUGUAGUUGGUAGGUUGUUGGCAGUGUGUAUUGUAUCAGUUAUUCACCUAAUUGGUAUGAAAAAAAUUCUGCUUUAUGGCAGUAGCCGUGCCUACUGAUCA